This 263-nucleotide ribosomal RNA is filed under the name uncultured archaeon. Its description in RNAcentral is "partial 16S ribosomal RNA". It matches the Rfam family "Archaeal small subunit ribosomal RNA", at positions 748 to 1010 of the family's 1478-position model. The record is from RNAcentral.
AGGGUGUAAACGCUGCAGACUUGGUGUUGGAAGCCCUUUGGGGGCAUUCAGUGCCGGAGAGAAGUUGUUAAGUCUGCUACUUGGGGAGUACGUCCGCAAGGAUGAAACUUAAAGGAAUUGGCGGGGGAGCACCGCAACGGGAGGAGCGUGCGGUUUAAUUGGAUUCAACACCGUAAAACUCACCAGGGAAGACUGUUACAUGAAGGCCGAGAUGAAGACUCUGCUAGAUUUUCAGAGAGGAGGUGCAUGGCGUCAGUGACUGU